Molecule: ribosomal RNA, 484 nt
Filed under: uncultured bacterium
Lineage: Bacteria
Description: bacterial SSU rRNA
Rfam family: Bacterial small subunit ribosomal RNA
Source: RNAcentral
GAUGAACGCUAGCGGCAGGCUUAAUACAUGCAAGUCGAACGGUAAGUGUUUUAGCAAUAAAGCACCAAGAGUGACGUACGGGUGCGUAACACGUAUGCAACCUACCCAUAACAGGAGGAUAGCUCCCCGAAAGGGGAAUUAACCCUCCAUAGUAUAAUUGACUGGCAUCAGUUGAUUAUUAAAACUCCGGUGGUUAUGGAUGGGCAUGCGUCUGAUUAGUUAGUUGGCGGUGUAACGGACCACCAAGACGAUGAUCAGUAGGGGAACUGAGAGGUUGAUCCCCCACACUGGCACUGAGAUACGGGCCAGACUCCUACGGGAGGCAGCAGUAGGGAAUAUUGGUCAAUGGAUGCAAGUCUGAACCAGCCAUGCCGCGUGCAGGAAGAAGGCCCUAUGGGUUGUAAACUGCUUUUGCCAGGGGAUAAAAUGGGCAUGCGUGCCUAAUUGAAGGUACCUGGUGAAUAAGCCACGGCUAACUACGUGC